CAAUAAACAUUUGAGCGUUGUACUGACAAGGGUAGUUAAGUGUUAAAUACAUGGGUGUCGAAUAAACGAUGGCUUGACGGGGGAAGCUUGUAUUCCAAAACAAUAUAUACACAUUGCUCGCGAUUGUUGACUAAUAUGAUUUCCAGAAAGAACAAGACGACAGCAUUGAAAGUGUUUCCUGAAUUUUUCUUGGUGACGUAACGAUAUCCUUUGUCAUUUUUGUCAGCUAAAGAAAAAAACAUUGUUACGUACUGAUUUCAGUCUUCAUAUGUAAAAAUAAUAAUUAAGAAACAUACUUAGUUUCUCAAAUAUUUUGUUACUCUGAUGGCA
Xenia sp. Carnegie-2017 is the source of this 330-nucleotide long non-coding RNA. RefSeq lists it as uncharacterized. The transcript has 2 exons. NCBI's taxonomy places the organism in Eukaryota, Metazoa, Cnidaria, Anthozoa, Malacalcyonacea, Xeniidae. The record is from RefSeq and is a predicted model, not a curated record.